UAGAGUUUGAUCCUGGCUCAGGAUGAACGCUAGCUACAGGCUUAACACAUGCAAGUCGAGGGGCAGCAUGGUCUUAGCUUGCUAAGGCCGAUGGCGACCGGCGCACGGGUGAGUAACACGUAUCCAACCUGCCGUCUACUCUUGGACAGCCUUCUGAAAGGAAGAUUAAUACAAGAUGGCAUCAUGAGUUCACAUGUUCACAUGAUUAAAGGUAUUCCGGUAGACGAUGGGGAUGCGUUCCAUUAGAUAGUAGGCGGGGUAACGGCCCACCUAGUCUUCGAUGGAUAGGGGUUCUGAGAGGAAGGUCCCCCACAUUGGAACUGAGACACGGUCCAAACUCCUACGGGAGGCAGCAGUGAGGAAUAUUGGUCAAUGGGCGCAGGCCUGAACCAGCCAAGUAGCGUGAAGGAUGACCGCCCUAUGGGUUGUAAACUUCUUUUAUAAAGGAAUAAAGUCGGGUAUGUAUACCCGUUUGCAUGUACUUUAUGAAUAAGGAUCGGCUAACUCCGUGCCAGCAGCCGCGGUAAUACGGAGGAUCCGAGCGUUAUCCGGAUUUAUUGGGUUUAAAGGGAGCGUAGAUGGAUGUUUAAGUCAGUUGUGAAAGUUUGCGGCUCAACCGUAAAAUUGCAGUUGAUACUGGAUAUCUUGAGUGCAGUUGAGGCAGGCGGAAUUCGUGGUGUAGCGGUGAAAUGCUUAGAUAUCACGAAGAACUCCGAUUGCGAAGGCAGCCUGCUAAGCUGCAACUGACAUUGAGGCUCGAAAGUGUGGGUAUCAAACAGGAUUAGAUACCCUGGUAGUCCACACGGUAAACGAUGAAUACUCGCUGUUUGCGAUAUACAGCAAGCGGCC
This 849-nucleotide ribosomal RNA is filed under the name uncultured bacterium. Its description in RNAcentral is "bacterial SSU rRNA". It matches the Rfam family "Bacterial small subunit ribosomal RNA", at positions 1 to 848 of the family's 1533-position model. The record is from RNAcentral.